Nicotiana tabacum (common tobacco) is the source of this 6552-nucleotide non-coding RNA. NCBI's taxonomy places the organism in Eukaryota, Viridiplantae, Streptophyta, Magnoliopsida, Solanales, Solanaceae. The record is from RefSeq and is a predicted model, not a curated record.
UAUUGCAUCAGAAUACAGAAAUUUGAUAUUCAAUUUCCGUGAUGGCUGAAAAAUCUUCGCACCCUUGUUGAUUUUUAAAGGAAAUAUAUUUUCUGCAUUUGGGUUUAUUUUGGUUGACUGGGUAGUUACCCUUCUGAUGGGAUACAUCAUGCAAGCGUGUUUGGAGGACAAAAUCUUAAAACCCCCCUAUUUUUGAGGUUGUAUAAUCCUGUCUUUCAGGAUUUGGCUAUUUUAUGCCAAUAUUUUUGGGCUACUAGUGCCAACGUAAAUUUAUGGCCAAUACAAUGCCAAUUACAGUGAAGGAUUGCUAUACGGUGUCAAUUCCUCUAAAUAUUUUUCCAGAUCCGAUGAAAGCCCCAUUAGAAAUUGACCAUCUCUCCUCCUCCUUUUCUUCUUCUUCGCCAAGUGAAGACAUGUCACGGUAUAAGAAAGAAAUGAAAGAGAAUAUAGCUUUUUGGGGCAAUUUUCUGGAUUUUUAUAAAUGAAAUUGAAAAAAAUAUUUGAAAUUCGAACUAUAAUCUAAACUAAUAACGAAAAUUAACAGAAUUAAAAACUCCAGCUAAAACUCCAUUGCUAAGUUAGGGAUCUGCAGAUGAAUAAGAAGAAUGAGAAGAAUUGGAAGAAGAAAGAAAAGGAUCGAGAAAGAAGGAGUGUGAAGAAGAGAGUAAGAUUACCAGAAUUUUCGUGAAUGCCUUUCUCUCUCCAAAGUUUUAGCUAUGUAACUGAAUUUGAGAGAGCAAAGUUGGCAACCAGCACACUAGCGCAUAAAAAGCUAUGAUAUUGAAUUUUUUGGGUUUUAUUUCAACAAUUCUUUGAUUAUGCUUAAUGCGUGCCUUUAUGCAGUGAGAAUUUAGUUUUGAGCAUUUUAAGCUGCUUCUAUGCCGUACGCAGAUGUUUAUUGUCGGAAUUCUUCUUUAACUGUUUCUGAUUUUGCGCUUUUUUUGCUCAUUUGAUCUGUAAGCUUUCUGGGUUUAUGCGUUUAUAUAAUGUGCAUAUAUGUUAGUUUCACUGUCCAGAUAGUUGUCAAAUCUAUACUUUUACCAAAGUGAUAUAUAUAUAUAUAUAUAUAGUUGCGGUAAGUUGAUGGCCAGAGUAAAAAUAAUCUAUUUUUUAUAAGUAUAAAAAAAAUAGUCUAAACUUUGAUAAAACUUCUAGUAGCCUAGGAAUGUGAGCCUGAAUAGAGAGGAAUGGAUACAGAUGAUUCAUAUAGUUGAUCCUAGCAUUCUAUGAUAGAGUCAUAGUUGAUUGAUUGAUUGAUUUAUGGAAAGAGAACGAAUAGCGAGUGAAUGGCAAAACUACAAUGAAACCAUUAAUUGCUGAAUCUGUUGGGAUGUGUCGAAAUCUGUGACUGUGAGCUUGAAAAGAGAGGAAUGGGUACAUAUGAUUCAUGUGGCUAAUCUGACCUUGUUUCUGGUAGUCGUAGUUGGAUGAUUGAUAUUUUGGAUAGAGCAUGGUAAAAUACCUUUUGAGUUAAUAAGCUUCAAUGGUUUGCUCGAGCGGUUAUGAUGUCUUCGCUCCAGCAGUUAUCAAUUUCUUUGCUGCUUACAAUACUUAUUGGGGUCUAUAGAGUGCACCUACGGGCUACGGCUGCAUAGUUAUGUAGAUGGUAUGCAUAAGCCUAUAGGAGCUCUAUGUGAAGAUGUCUUGAACAGAGCAGCCAUUUUGUGAUUGGAGCGUUCAAUAUUAGUUUUUAAAUUAUAAGUGUUCCCUAGAUGGUUUAGAAACUUUAUUCUGACCUGAUUUUUAACAUGUGAGAUGCUUUCGGAAACUUUGAACAGCUCCUGCGGAGGUAGGGCUACAAUGUGUAGCAGUUUUAUCAGAUCCUGCUUGAGGCACGCGUAAGCCUUGAAGCUCAGCGAAGCAUAGUCCGGUCACUUUUAUUUGCCUAAGUGGCGCUUUAUUGCAAAUAUCAAGGCAUUAAGGAAGACUUUGUAGGCAAAACUGAUAUGGCAGCAAGGAAUGCUUUCAGAUAUGUUUCUCGUAGGCUCUACAGCUAUGGUAAGGUACUAAGCGAGGAGGAAAGAGCAGCUGAAAAUGUCUACAUCAAGCUUUCAGAAAUGGAUAUUGGAUUAACAGUUGGUGGUGCAUUUCUCUCUUCAAUUCUGCAAGUUCUCUUUGAUAGGCUUGCUCCUCAAGGUGAGCUGCUGAAGAUGUUUCAAAGGGGCAAGCAUGAUGUUUUGCUGUUAAAGAAGCUGAGGAGGACUUUGCGUGGUCUUAAGAUUGUGCUAAAUGAUGCAGAGAAUAAACAGGCAUCAAAUCCAAAUGUGAGCGAGUGGCUUUAUGAACUUCGGGAUGCUGUAGACAGUGCUGAAAACUUAAUGGAAGAAAUCAAUUAUGAAGUUCUCCGAGUUAAGGUGGAAGGUCAGUAUCAAAAUCUUGUAGACACAAGCAACCAGCAGGGAAGUGAUCUCAACUUGUGCUUGAGUGAUAAAUUUUUUCUUUACAUAAAGGAGAAGUUGGUAGAUUCCAUUGAAACAUUGGAGGAGCUGCAAAAGCAAAUUGGCUGCCUUGGCCUAAAUGACCAUCUUGACUCGGGUAAACAAGAAACUAGAAGACUUUCAACUUCUGUGGUUGAUGAAUUUGAUAUCUUUGGUAGGCAGAAUGAAAUAAAUAUAUUGGUUGACCGUUUAUUGUCUGAUGAUGCAAUUAAAAAAAGGUUGACUGUAAUUCCUAUUGUUGGAAUGGCAGGUGUUGGCAAGACAACACUUGCUAAAGUUGUUUACAAUGAUGAGAAGGUGAAACAACAUUUUAAGUUGAAAUCUUGGAUCUCUGUGUCUGAACCAUAUGAUGUUUUUAGAAUAACAAAAGGGUUACUUCAAGAAAUUGGUUCAUCCGACUUGAUGGUUGAUAACAAUCUUAAUCAGCUUCAGAUCAAAUUGAUGGAAAGCUUAAAGGGGAAAAAGUUCCUUAUUGUUUUAGAUGAUGUUUGGAAUGACAACUACAAUGACUGGUAUGACUUGAGAAUUCCUUUUGCACAAGGAGAAAAUGGAAGUAUGAUCAUUGUGACGACACGUAAGGAGAGUGUUGCCUUGAUGAUGGGUAUUGGGCCAAUUAACGUGGGAACUUUGUCUACUGAAGUCUCUUGGCCUUUAUUCGAAAGACAUGCAUUUGAAAAUAGGGAUCCUAAGGAACAUCCAGAACUUGAAGAGGUAGGAAAACAAAUUGCAAAGAAGUGCAAAGGAUUGCCUUUAGCACUAAAGACGCUUGCUGGUUUGUUGCGCUCCAAAUCAGAGGUUGAAGAGUGGAGACGUGUUUUGAGAAGCGAAAUAUGGGAACUGCCGGAUAACAGCAUAUUACCAGCGCUGAUGCUGAGCUACAUUGAUCUUCCCGUGCAUUUGAGGCAAUGUUUUUCCUAUUGUGCAAUAUUUCCCAAAGAUUAUCCAUUUUGCAAAGAACAAGUCAUUCGACUCUGGAUUGCUAAUGGUCUCGUACAACAGUUGCAAAAAGAUGAAACAGUUGAAGAUUUAGGCAACCAAUACUUUCUCGAGUUGCGAUCAAGAUCGUUGUUCGAAAGGGUCCAAGAGUCCUCUAAAAGGAAGGUAGAGGUAUUCUUAAUGCAUGACCUUGUCAAUGAUUUGGCCCAAAUGGCAUCUUCAAAACUUUGUAUCAAUCUGGAAGAUAAUGAAGGAUCUCAUAUAUUGGAAAAAAGUCGACACCUAUCAUAUUCAAUGGGAUAUGGUGACUUUGAGAAAUUGAAACCCCUACACAAAUUGAAGCAGCUGAGAACAUUGCUUCCAAUAAGUUUUGAGCUUGAUAAUUCAUUUCCUUUAAGCAAGAGGGUGUUGAAUAACAUAUUGCCAUGUCUAACAUCCUUAAGGGCAUUAUCAUUGGCUUGUUAUGAGAUUGAGGAGUUGCCAAAUGUCUUGUUAAUCGAAUUAAAGCUCCUGAAAUUUUUGGACCUUUCCCUGACAAAGAUAAGAAAGUUACCAGAUUCGAUUUGUGUAUUGUACAACUUAGAGACAUUUCUCUUGUCAUCUUGUUAUUAUCUUGAGGAGUUACCAGUGCAAAUGGAAAAGUUGAUCAACUUGCGUUACCUUGACAUUAGCAACACUUCUCGCUUGAAGCUACCGCUACAUCCAAGCAAGUUCAAAAGCCUCCACGUGCUAGUGGGAGCUAAAUUUCUUCUAGAUGGUUGCAGUGGUUCGAGAAUCGGAGGUAUGGAUAAGCUGCAUAACUUGUAUGGAUCUCUUUCAAUUCUAGAGUUGCAAAAUGUGGUUGAUAGAAGGGAAGCUGUGAAGGCAAACAUGAGGGACAAGAAUCAUAUUGAAAAGUUAUCGUUGGAGUGGAGUGAGAGUAUUGCUGACAGUUCACAAGAUGAAAGAGACAUACUUGAUGAGCUACAUCCAAAUCGGAACAUAAAAGAACUCCAAAUCACCGGAUAUGCAGGGACAAAGUUUCCAAACUGGAUCGCUGAUCAUUCGUUUCUUAAACUGGUGAAAUUGUCUCUUAGCAAUUGCAAGGAUUGUGAUUCCCUUCCAGCACUAGGACAACUUCCUUCUUUGAAAUUCCUUGCAAUUCGAGGGAUGCAUCGAAUAGUGGAGGUAGCUGAAGAUUUUUAUGGUAAUUUGUCUUCCAAGAAGCCUUUUAACUCUCUUGAGAAGCUUGAAUUUGCAAGGAUGCUGGAGUGGAAGCACUGGCAUGUAUUAGGGAAUGGAGAUUUCCCUACACUUCAGGACCUUUCAAUUUUUGAUUGCCCAAAGUUGAUUGGGAAGUUUCCUCAAAAUCUUUGUUCUCUAACAAGAUUGAUAAUUUCAAAAUGUCCUGAACUCAUUAUGGAGACACCUAUUCAACUUUCAAGUUUGAAAAAGUUUGUAGUUGUUGGUUCUCCUAAGGUUGGAGUUCUUUCUGAUCAUGCUGAACUGUUUGCAUCCCAACUUCAGGGAAUGAAGCAGAUAGUUGAAUUAUGUAUUGAUCACUCUGACUCUCUUACCUGCUUACCCAUUAGCAGUUUGCCAAGCACUUUGAAGAAACUAAGGAUGCGUCGUUGUCAGAAAUUGAAAUUGGAGACGUCAAUUAGUCAGAUGAUUUCUAGAGGAAGUAACAUGUUUCUCGAGAAUCUGGAACUUGAUGCAUGUGAUUCUAUAGAUGAUAUAUCACCUGAGUUGGUUCCAAGAGCACGCUAUUUUAGCGUAGAAAGUUGUCACAGCCUUACUAGGCUUUUGAUUCCCAAUGGUACUGAACAUCUCAGAAUUAAUGAAUGUGAAAAUCUGGAAAUACUUUUGGUGGCAUGCGGGACUCAGACGAUGCCAUUGCGUAAGUUGUAUAUUUUCAACUGCGAAAAGCUGAAGUCGCUUCCAGAACGUAUGGAGGAACUCCUUCCAUAUCUUAAGGAACUGCUACUUCAAAAUUGUCCAGAAAUGGAGUCUUUUCCUGAAGGAGGAUUGCCCUGCAAUUUAGAAGUCCUUGAGAUCCACAAUUGCAAGAAACUGGUGAAUUGCCGGAAGGAGUGGGACUUACAGAGACUCCCUUUUCUCACAGAUUUAACCAUCUACCAUGAUGGUAGUGAUGAAGAGAUUCUUGCUGGUGAAAAUUGGGAGUUGCCUUGCUCUAUUCGAAGUCUUGAAGUAGACAAUCUGAAAACAUUAAGCUGCCAAGUUGUCAAACGCCUCACCUCGCUUGAAUCUCUAUUUAUUGUUAAUUUACCCCAAAUUCGGUCACUGCUGGAAGAAGGGCUUCCCUCAUCUCUUUCUGAGUUAUAUUUAUAUCGGCAUCAUGAGCUCCAUUCACUACCAACCGAAGGUCUUAGGCACCACACUUCCCUUCGAUUUCUAGAGAUCAGCUCCUGCUAUCAACUUCAAUCUCUUCCAGAAUCAGCGCUUCCCUCCUCCCUUUCUGUGCUGAAUAUAUGGGAUUGCCCUCUUGCAGAAUCAGCACUGCCCUCUUCCCUCUCUAAGCUGUCCAUCUGGACUUGCCCUAAUCUCCAAUCCCUUCCAGUAAAAGGGAUGCCCUCUUCCAUCUCUAGACUAUCUAUUCACAACUGCCCAUUGCUCAAACCACGUCUAGAAUUCGAGAAGGGUGAUUACUGGCCAAAAAUUGCUCAUAUUCCCACCAUAAAGGUCGAGGGGGAGUACCUGUAAUGGUUGAAGCAAGUGGUGCUCCGAUAGAUCGCAAAGCGUCUAUUGCAAAAAUGAAGCCAUGGAAUCAUCAUCAAGUCUGAGUUGUCCUAAUCUUCAAUCUCUUCCAGUAAAGGGAAUGCCCUCUUCCAUCUGUAGUUUCAACUGCCCAUUGCUCAAACCAUGUCUAAAAUUUGAGAAAGGAGAAUAGUGGCCAAAAACUUUGAUAGAUAGCAGCGCAAAGCGUCAAUUGCCAGCCUUUUUGCACAGUUGAUGAAAGAAAUGUUGUGCUGACAUUCUUUAUGAAUAGGCAAUCACCUCAAUAGUGGUCUGUUAGAAGAGUGUAAGUGAGGAAACAUACAUCUCUUUUGUGUGGAAUUUUGCCAGCUUUACUUCUCUUUCAUCAGUCUGAGAAGGAAAUGUUAUGUAAUUUUCUGUACUGGAGUUUUCCCUAUGCCGAACUUCAAACAUCAAUGAAAAGGACUAGUCAUUCUAUAUA